This 658-nucleotide ribosomal RNA is filed under the name Henriciella barbarensis. RNAcentral's name for it is "bacterial SSU rRNA". It matches the Rfam family "Bacterial small subunit ribosomal RNA", at positions 117 to 810 of the family's 1533-position model. RNAcentral also lists the same sequence under 1 other name. Lineage: Bacteria; Pseudomonadati; Pseudomonadota; Alphaproteobacteria; Hyphomonadales; Hyphomonadaceae. The record is from RNAcentral.
GUGGGAACGUACCCUUCACUACGGAAUAGCUUCUGGAAACGGAAGGUAAUACCGUAUACGCCCUCCGGGGGAAAGAUUUAUCGGUGAAGGAUCGGCCCGCGUUAGAUUAGUUUGUUGGUGGGGUAAUGGCCUACCAAGACUACGAUCUAUAGCUGGUCUGAGAGGAUGAUCAGCCACACUGGGACUGAGACACGGCCCAGACUCCUACGGGAGGCAGCAGUGGGGAAUCUUGCACAAUGGGCGAAAGCCUGAUGCAGCCAUGCCGCGUGAAUGAUGAAGGCCUUAGGGUUGUAAAAUUCUUUCGCCAGGGAUGAUAAUGACAGUACCUGGUAAAGAAGCCCCGGCUAACUUCGUGCCAGCAGCCGCGGUAAUACGAAGGGGGCUAGCGUUGUUCGGAAUUACUGGGCGUAAAGCGCGCGUAGGCGGGCUAUUAAGCCAGAUGUGAAAGCCCGGAGCUCAACUCCGGAAUUGCAUUUGGAACUGGUAGCCUAGAGACCAGGAGAGGUUAGCGGAAUACCGAGUGUAGAGGUGAAAUUCGUAGAUAUUCGGUGGAACACCAGUGGCGAAGGCGGCUAACUGGACUGGUACUGACGCUGAGGCGCGAAAGUGUGGGGAGCAAACAGGAUUAGAUACCCUGGUAGUCCACACCGUAAACGAU